CCUACGGGUGGCUGCAGUGGGGAAUCUUGCGCAAUGGGCGAAAGCCUGACGCAGCCAUGCCGCGUGAAUGAUGAAGGUCUUAGGAUUGUAAAAUUCUUUCACCGGGGACGAUAAUGACGGUACCCGGAGAAGAAGCCCCGGCUAACUUCGUGCCAGCAGCCGCGGUAAUACGAAGGGGGCUAGCGUUGCUCGGAAUUACUGGGCGUAAAGGGCGCGUAGGCGGAUCGUUAAGUCAGAGGUGAAAUCCCGGAGCUCAACUUCGGAACUGCCUUUGAUACUGGCGAUCUUGAGUGUGAGAGAGGUAUGUGGAACUCCGAGUGUAGAGGUGAAAUUCGUAGAUAUUCGGAAGAACACCAGUGGCGAAGGCGACAUACUGGCUCAUUACUGACGCUGAGGCGCGAAAGCGUGGGGAGCAAACAGGAUUAGAUACCCUUGUAGUC
RNAcentral lists this ribosomal RNA (440 nucleotides) under uncultured bacterium. Its description in RNAcentral is "partial 16S ribosomal RNA". It matches the Rfam family "Bacterial small subunit ribosomal RNA", at positions 338 to 795 of the family's 1533-position model. The record is from RNAcentral.